Molecule: ribosomal RNA, 486 nt
Filed under: uncultured organism
Description: bacterial SSU rRNA
Rfam family: Bacterial small subunit ribosomal RNA
Source: RNAcentral
AUUGAACGCUGGCGGCAUGCCUUACACAUGCAAGUCGAACGGCAGCAUGGGUGCUUGCACCUGAUGGCGAGUGGCGAACGGGUGAGUAAUACAUCGGAACGUGUCCUUGAGUUUGGGAUAACGCGGCGAAAGUUGCGCUAAUACCGAAUACACUCUGAGGAGGAAAGCGGGGGAUCGCAAGACCUCGCGCUCUAGGGUCGGCCGAUGUUGGAUUAGCUUGUUGGUGGGGUAAAAGCCUACCAAGGCUGCGAUCCAUAGCGGGUCUGAGAGGAUGAUCCGCCACACUGGGACUGAGACACGGCCCAGACUCCUACGGGAGGCAGCAGUGGGGAAUUUUGGACAAUGGGGGCAACCCUGAUCCAGCCAUGCCGCGUGAGUGAAGAAGGCCUUCGGGUUGUAAAGCUCUUUCGGUGGGGAAGAAAUUGCAUACUCUAAUACAGUGUGUAGAUGACGGUACCCGCAUAAGAAGCACCGGCUAACUACGUG